CUGUAGAGGCCGCAAGGCCUCUGCUGAGAUUGCACCCAUUGUCUUUGGAGCACUGUACGUUUCCUCGGCAGGCCCGCCUGCCAACGGGGACCCCAUACAAACCCUUUUGCAGUACUUGCAGUAAACGUCUCAAAAACAAAACAAUUA
RNAcentral lists this unclassified non-coding RNA (147 nucleotides) under uncultured fungus. Its description in RNAcentral is "sequence contains ITS1, 5.8S rRNA gene". The record is from RNAcentral. Lineage: Eukaryota; Fungi.